RNAcentral lists this ribosomal RNA (1528 nucleotides) under Escherichia coli. Its description in RNAcentral is "bacterial SSU rRNA". It matches the Rfam family "Bacterial small subunit ribosomal RNA". The record is from RNAcentral. Lineage: Bacteria; Pseudomonadati; Pseudomonadota; Gammaproteobacteria; Enterobacterales; Enterobacteriaceae.
AGAGUUUGAUCAUGGCUCAGAUUGAACGCUGGCGGCAGGCCUAACACAUGCAAGUCGAACGGUAACAGGAAACAGCUUGCUGUUUCGCUGACGAGUGGCGGACGGGUGAGUAAUGUCUGGGAAACUGCCUGAUGGAGGGGGAUAACUACUGGAAACGGUAGCUAAUACCGCAUAACGUCGCAAGACCAAAGAGGGGGACCUUCGGGCCUCUUGCCAUCAGAUGUGCCCAGAUGGGAUUAGCUAGUAGGUGGGGUAACGGCUCACCUAGGCGACGAUCCCUAGCUGGUCUGAGAGGAUGACCAGCCACACUGGAACUGAGACACGGUCCAGACUCCUACGGGAGGCAGCAGUGGGGAAUAUUGCACAAUGGGCGCAAGCCUGAUGCAGCCAUGCCGCGUGUAUGAAGAAGGCCUUCGGGUUGUAAAGUACUUUCAGCGGGGAGGAAGGGAGUAAAGUUAAUACCUUUGCUCAUUGACGUUACCCGCAGAAGAAGCACCGGCUAACUCCGUGCCAGCAGCCGCGGUAAUACGGAGGGUGCAAGCGUUAAUCGGAAUUACUGGGCGUAAAGCGCACGCAGGCGGUUUGUUAAGUCAGAUGUGAAAUCCCCGGCUCAACCUGGGAACUGCAUCUGAUACUGGCAAGCUUGAGUCUCGUAGAGGGGGUAGAAUUCCAGGUGUAGCGGUGAAAUGCGUAGAGAUCUGGAGGAAUACCGGUGGCGAAGGCGGCCCCCUGGACGAAGACUGACGCUCAGGUGCGAAAGCGUGGGGAGCAAACAGGAUUAGAUACCCUGGUAGUCCACGCCGUAAACGAUGUCGACUUGGAGGUUGUGCCCUUGAGGCGUGGCUUCCGGAGCUAACGCGUUAAGUCGACCGCCUGGGGAGUACGGCCGCAAGGUUAAAACUCAAAUGAAUUGACGGGGGCCCGCACAAGCGGUGGAGCAUGUGGUUUAAUUCGAUGCAACGCGAAGAACCUUACCUGGUCUUGACAUCCACGGAAGUUUUCAGAGAUGAGAAUGUGCCUUCGGGAACCGUGAGACAGGUGCUGCAUGGCUGUCGUCAGCUCGUGUUGUGAAAUGUUGGGUUAAGUCCCGCAACGAGCGCAACCCUUAUCCUUUGUUGCCAGCGGUCCGGCCGGGAACUCAAAGGAGACUGCCAGUGAUAAACUGGAGGAAGGUGGGGAUGACGUCAAGUCAUCAUGGCCCUUACGACCAGGGCUACACACGUGCUACAAUGGCGCAUACAAAGAGAAGCGACCUCGCGAGAGCAAGCGGACCUCAUAAAGUGCGUCGUAGUCCGGAUUGGAGUCUGCAACUCGACUCCAUGAAGUCGGAAUCGCUAGUAAUCGUGGAUCAGAAUGCCACGGUGAAUACGUUCCCGGGCCUUGUACACACCGCCCGUCACACCAUGGGAGUGGGUUGCAAAAGAAGUAGGUAGCUUAACCUUCGGGAGGGCGCUUACCACUUUGUGAUUCAUGACUGGGGUGAAGUCGUAACAAGGUAACCGUAGGGGAACCUGCGGUUGGAUCACCU